UACGUAGGUGGCAAGCGUUACUCGGAAUCACUAGGCGUAAAGCGCAGGUAGGCGGUUCGGUAAGUCUUUUGUGAAAGCUCCCGGCUCAACUGGGAGAGGUCAAAGGAAACUACCGGGCUAGAGUGUGGUAGGGGAAACUGGAAUUCCUGGUGUAGCGGUGAAAUGCGUAGAUAUCAGGAGGAACACCUAUGGCGAAAGCAGGUUUCUGGGCCAUCACUGACGCUGAGCUGCGAAAGCUAGGGGAGCAAACAGG
Molecule: ribosomal RNA, 253 nt
Filed under: uncultured bacterium
Lineage: Bacteria
Description: partial 16S ribosomal RNA
Rfam family: Bacterial small subunit ribosomal RNA
Source: RNAcentral